Long non-coding RNA from Acipenser ruthenus (sterlet), 460 nucleotides. RefSeq lists it as uncharacterized. The transcript is spliced from 3 exons. The record is from RefSeq and is a predicted model, not a curated record. Lineage: Eukaryota; Metazoa; Chordata; Actinopteri; Acipenseriformes; Acipenseridae.
AGAACUCGAGUCUGACAACUUGAGGUUAUACUUGAUACUGGACUAGAAGAGGAGCACAUCUUUGCUUUUUUACAGCCAGGUUAUAGCUGGUGGCUUACAGCUUGGUUCGUGGAUAUUACUUUUUUGCAUGUGUUCCAUACUACAUUGGUGCUCAGGGAGGGAGCGGAGACGCAGAGAAACAGAUAGGCCGACAGAAAGACAGCUACGUACGCAGGAGACAGAGGCAGAAUGAAACCAUGGGAAGACAACCUGACGCCUUUCUUGAGACGCUCGGAGCGGAAGCUCUCGUAGUGAAGGUCCUGGGUCACCUCCUGAAGGUCCUGCAUGACUCACAUGAGCAUGGUGCGGAGCUUCAGGAAGUCGUUGUGCUCAGGGUUCUCCACCUCCACCACACCCCAGGGGUACAGGCGCCCUCGUACCUUCUUCCCUUUCGCCUCGAUCUGCUGGUUCGACCCCACCA